Schistosoma haematobium is the source of this 45-nucleotide non-coding RNA. The record is from Rfam. NCBI's taxonomy places the organism in Eukaryota, Metazoa, Platyhelminthes, Trematoda, Strigeidida, Schistosomatidae.
AUCCGGCUGAUGAGUCCCAAAUAGAACGAAACGUGCGUCCUAGAU